Molecule: non-coding RNA, 74 nt
Organism: Podarcis lilfordi (Lilford's wall lizard)
Lineage: Eukaryota; Metazoa; Chordata; Lepidosauria; Squamata; Lacertidae
Source: the annotation of a GenBank genome assembly
UUCUGGGAUAGCUCAGUUGGUAGAGCAUGAGAUUCUUAAUCUCAGGGUUGUGGGUUCAAGCCUCACCUUGGACA